CGAAAGCCUGACGGAGCAAUACCGCGUGAGGGAGGAAGGCUCUUGGGUCGUAAACCUCUUUUCUCAGGGAAGAACACAAUGACGGUACCUGAGGAAUAAGCAUCGGCUAACUCCGUGCCAGCAGCCGCGGUAAGACGGAGGAUGCAAGCGUUAUCCGGAAUUAUUGGGCGUAAAGCGUCCGUAGGCGGUUUAUCAAGUCUGUCGUUAAAGACUGCAGCUUAACUGUGGGCGAGCGGUGGAAACUGAUUAACUAGAGUGUGGUAGGGGUAGAGGGAAUUCCCAGUGUAGCGGUGAAAUGCGUAGAUAUUGGGAAGAACACCAGUGGCGAAGGCGCUCUACUGGGCCACAACUGACGCUGAGGGACGAAAGCUAGGGGAGCG
This 380-nucleotide ribosomal RNA is filed under the name uncultured cyanobacterium. Its description in RNAcentral is "bacterial SSU rRNA". It matches the Rfam family "Bacterial small subunit ribosomal RNA", at positions 376 to 770 of the family's 1533-position model. Lineage: Bacteria; Bacillati; Cyanobacteriota. The record is from RNAcentral.